AGAGUUUGAUCCUGGCUCAGAGCGAACGCUGGCGGCAGGCCUAACACAUGCAAGUCGAGCGGAAAGGCCCUUCGGGGUACUCGAGCGGCGAACGGGUGAGUAACACGUGAGCAACCUGCCCCUGACUCUGGGAUAAGCCCGGGAAACUGGGUCUAAUACCGGAUACGACCGCCCCCGGCAUCGGGUGGUGGUGGAAAGUUUUUUCGGUUGGGGAUGGGCUCGCGGCCUAUCAGCUUGUUGGUGGGGUAGUGGCCUACCAAGGCGACGACGGGUAGCCGGCCUGAGAGGGCGACCGGCCACACUGGGACUGAGACACGGCCCAGACUCCUACGGGAGGCAGCAGUGGGGAAUAUUGCGCAAUGGGCGGAAGCCUGACGCAGCGACGCCGCGUGGGGGAUGACGGCCUUCGGGUUGUAAACCUCUUUCAGCAGGGACGAAGUUGACGUGUACCCGCAGAAGAAGCGCCGGCUAACUACGUGCCAGCAGCCGCGGUAAUAC
RNAcentral lists this ribosomal RNA (498 nucleotides) under uncultured bacterium. RNAcentral describes it as "bacterial SSU rRNA". It matches the Rfam family "Bacterial small subunit ribosomal RNA", at positions 8 to 526 of the family's 1533-position model. The record is from RNAcentral.